UCCAAAGGAAGUGAAAACAGGAUCUUAAAGAGAUCUCUGCACUUCCAUGUUUAUUGCAGCAUUAUUCACAAUAGGCAAGAUAUUGAAACAACCAAAGUGUUCAUCAGUGGAUUAAUGAAUAAAGAAGAUAUGGUUAAAGGGUGCCUGGGUGG
Molecule: long non-coding RNA, 152 nt
Organism: Lynx canadensis (Canada lynx)
Lineage: Eukaryota; Metazoa; Chordata; Mammalia; Carnivora; Felidae
Exons: 3
Source: RefSeq, a predicted model, not a curated record